AUCUUAGAGGCCUUGAUGUGUUCACAAGAUUGGAUAAGAAACAAAUAUAAAGGUGUGUCUUUCUUUACAUACAUCAUAAAGUUUAUCAUUAUCUUACUGCAAUGUUUCAUAAGAUGUUCAUUACUACUUAUUUGAUUCUCAUAGAUGCUGACAAUGAAUAAGGACAAAGCUUUUGGAGUUGUCUUCAAGACAUUCAAGAGGGAAUGCAGGUGAAGUACAGGUACUUGCAAAUUUCAUAUACUAAUCUGCAUAUUUUUCUCAUGUUUAACUUUAGCUUGAGCGAAUUUUGAUCUUCCCUAGGACUUGGCACUUUGAUUUGGCAUUGGAAGAUUUGAAGAUGGUUGUUUGGAGGCUUGGAGAUGUGAAAGAUGCCAUGAUGAUUCCAACUUUAAAGUGAUUUGUGAACUAUAAGUUCUAUUUCAGAACUUAUAUAGCUGUUGAACCAUCUACUAUUGUUUUUUGUUGAAAUUUACUCAAGUUAUGCUGCUGAAAUGUGCUUGUUUUGCUGCUGAAAUGUUAUUCUUUGUCGCCACUAUGUUUGUUUAAAU
Molecule: long non-coding RNA, 548 nt
Filed under: Triticum aestivum (bread wheat)
Lineage: Eukaryota; Viridiplantae; Streptophyta; Magnoliopsida; Poales; Poaceae
Description: long non-coding RNA (TAES_LNC009445)
Source: RNAcentral